GGGCCCGCACAAGCGGUGGAGCAUGUGGUUUAAUUCGAUGCAACGCGAAGAACCUUACCAGGGCUUGACAUACUGCGAAUCUCCUUGAAAGGGGAGAGUGCCUUAGGGAAUGCAGAUACAGGUGGUGCAUGGCUGUCGUCAGCUCGUGUCGUGAGAUGUUGGGUUAAGUCCCGCAACGAGCGCAACCCUUGUUUUUAGUUACCAAUUCGUUGGGUUUUCUAGAAAGACUGCCGGUGACAAACCGGAGGAAGGUGAGGAUGACGUCAAGUCAGCAUGCCCCUUAUGUCCUGGGCUACACACGUGCUACAAUGGUUAGGACAAAGAGUCGCAAGUUUGCAAAAACAAGCAAAUCUCAUAAACCGUGGCUCAGUUCAGAUCGUAGGCUGCAACUCGCCUACGUG
RNAcentral lists this ribosomal RNA (401 nucleotides) under uncultured bacterium. RNAcentral's name for it is "bacterial SSU rRNA". It matches the Rfam family "Bacterial small subunit ribosomal RNA", at positions 917 to 1322 of the family's 1533-position model. The record is from RNAcentral.